This 292-nucleotide ribosomal RNA is filed under the name uncultured Kocuria sp. RNAcentral's name for it is "partial 16S ribosomal RNA". It matches the Rfam family "Bacterial small subunit ribosomal RNA", at positions 505 to 796 of the family's 1533-position model. The record is from RNAcentral. Lineage: Bacteria; Bacillati; Actinomycetota; Actinomycetes; Micrococcales; Micrococcaceae.
GUGCCAGCAGCCGCGGUAAUACGUAGGGCGCAAGCGUUGUCCGGAAUUAUUGGGCGUAAAGAGCUCGUAGGCGGUUUGUCGCGUCUGCUGUGAAAGCCCGGGGCUUAACCCCGGGUGUGCAGUGGGUACGGGCAGACUUGAGUGCAGUAGGGGAGACUGGAAUUCCUGGUGUAGCGGUGAAAUGCGCAGAUAUCAGGAGGAACACCGAUGGCGAAGGCAGGUCUCUGGGCUGUUACUGACGCUGAGGAGCGAAAGCAUGGGGAGCGAACAGGAUUAGAUACCCUUGUAGUCC